CUUGCCCCUAGAAGGCUUGCUGGUGUGGCUGCUGUGUCACAUGUGAAUCAAUAGGUGGCAGAGAGGAGAGAGAAAGGCUAUGUCUAUGCUCAGUGUUCUGAUCUAUGAACAUCUGGAUGAUUAGCAGCCUAACAGU
This is a small nucleolar RNA of Grammomys surdaster, 136 nucleotides long. RefSeq annotates it as small nucleolar RNA SNORA17. The record is from RefSeq and is a predicted model, not a curated record. NCBI's taxonomy places the organism in Eukaryota, Metazoa, Chordata, Mammalia, Rodentia, Muridae. The transcript has a single exon.